GAUGAAGAACGUAGCAAAAUGCGAUAAGUAAUGUGAAUUGCGGAAUUCAGUGAAUCAUCGAAUCUUUGAACGCACAUUGCGCCCGCCAGUAUUCUGGCGGGCAUGCCUGUUCGAGCGUCAUUUCAACCCUCAAGCACAGCUUGGUGUUGGGACUCGCGUUAAUUCGCGUUCCCCAAAUUGAUUGGCGGUCACGUCGAGCUUCCAUAGCGUAGUAGUAAAACCCUCGUUACUGGUAAUCGUCGCGGCCACGCCGUUAAACCCCAACUUCUGAAUGUUGACCUCGGAUCAGGUAGGAAUACCCGCUGAACUUAAGCAUAUCAAUAAGCGGAGGA
RNAcentral lists this unclassified non-coding RNA (332 nucleotides) under soil metagenome. RNAcentral's name for it is "partial contains 5.8S ribosomal RNA, internal transcribed spacer 2, and large subunit ribosomal RNA". The stretch from base 1 to 120 matches the Rfam family "5.8S ribosomal RNA", at positions 35 to 154 of the family's 154-position model. The record is from RNAcentral.